This 410-nucleotide ribosomal RNA is filed under the name uncultured bacterium. RNAcentral describes it as "bacterial SSU rRNA". It matches the Rfam family "Bacterial small subunit ribosomal RNA", at positions 370 to 772 of the family's 1533-position model. The record is from RNAcentral.
AAUGGACGAAAGUCUGACGCAGCAACGCCGCGUGGGUGAUGAAGGUCUUCGGAUUGUAAAACCCUGUCGUCGGGGACGAAGGUGUGGAUGUUAAUAGCGUUCAUGCUUGACGGUACCCGGAGAGGAAGCCCCGGCUAACUCUGUGCCAGCAGCCGCGGUAAUACAGAGGGGGCAAGCGUUAUUCGGAAUUAUUGGGCGUAAAGGGCGCGUAGGCGGUGAUUCAAGUUGGAUGUGUAAUCCCCGGGCUCAACCUGGGAACUGCAUCCAAGACUGGAUUGCUAGAGUGCUGGAGAGGGUGGUGGAAUUCCUCGUGUAGCGGUGAAAUGCGUAGAGAUGAGGAGGAACACCAGUGGCGAAGGCGGCCACCUGGACAGUAACUGACGCUGAGGCGCGAAAGUGUGGGGAGCAAA